Long non-coding RNA from Magnolia sinica, 611 nucleotides. RefSeq lists it as uncharacterized. The transcript has 3 exons. The record is from RefSeq and is a predicted model, not a curated record. NCBI's taxonomy places the organism in Eukaryota, Viridiplantae, Streptophyta, Magnoliopsida, Magnoliales, Magnoliaceae.
UGCACUGUAUGAAUGCUAAAGAAGGAAACAACAACAUGCCAAUACGCUGGCUGAUAUUGUUACCUAAUACCUAGGUACAUGGAAACAAAUUGGAGAUACCUUGGCUUCUUAUAGCUUCCUAAAAUCUGGUUGCUUGGGUGGUCACGUGUUGUGGGUCCUAGCUUCAAGUAUGGUUCAUGAUAAGAUCAGGCAUUCUUGUGGGCCAUGGCAAGGCGCACAUUCUUAUUUAUGAUGAUGCAGUUCAAAUAUAUGCAGUUCAAAAUGAAGAAUCGUAAAAUUGCCCAAUGUUGGGUGUGGCAGAGUUUCUUCAGAAACCUCUAUCUGAAGACAAACUGAGAAACAUAUGGCAGCACGUGGUUCAUAAGGUGGGCUUAUUUUUCGGGUGUCUCACAUGAACUAAGAAUAAUAAGGACAUGUUUGGAUGCACAAUCUAAUUGAAUUGAAACCCAAUAAAGUUGAAAUGACCAAAUCACAAUUCAAGUUAGACAUGGAAGGAAUGCAACUGCAAUGUGAUCAUUUCCUCUCUCUUGAACAAACAAUUGCAAUUCAUUUCAAUAGUGCAUUAAAACGCAACCUAGAUGCUGCAUUAUGAUUAUUUUCAGUCAUUUUGA